Molecule: ribosomal RNA, 1215 nt
Filed under: metagenome
Description: bacterial LSU rRNA
Rfam family: Bacterial large subunit ribosomal RNA
Source: RNAcentral
CCAAAGCAGCCAUCAUUUAAAGAAAGCGUAAUAGCUCACUGAUCGAGUCGUCCUGCGCGGAAGAUGUAACGGGGCUAAGCCAGUUACCGAAGCUGCGGAUGUGCAAUUUAUUGCAUGUGGUAGGAGAGCGUUCUGUAAGCCUGUGAAGGUGGCUUGUGAAGGCUGCUGGAGGUAUCAGAAGUGCGAAUGCUGACAUGAGUAGCGUUAAAGGGGGUGAAAAGCCCCCUCGCCGAAAGCGCAAGGUUUCCUACGCAACGUUCAUCGGCGUAGGGUGAGUCGGCCCCUAAGGCGAGGCAGAGAUGCGUAGCUGAUGGGAAACAGGUCAAUAUUCCUGUACCGAUUGCAAGUGCGAUGUGGGGACGGAGAAGGUUAGCUCAGCCAACUGUUGGAUAUGUUGGUUCAAGCGUGUAGUCGUGUCUCUUAGGCAAAUCCGGGAGAAUUAGAUGAGGCGUGAUAACGAGUCUGCUUGCAGACGAAGUGAGUGAUACCCUGCUUCCAAGAAAAGCCACUAAGCUUCAGCUUGUAAUUGACCGUACCGCAAACCGACACUGGUGCGCGAGAUGAGUAUUCUAAGGCGCUUGAGAGAACUCUGGAGAAGGAACUCGGCAAAUUGACACCGUAACUUCGGAAGAAGGUGUGCCUUUAGUAGGUGAACCAUUUACUUGGGGAGCCCAAUGAGGCCGCAGAGAAUCGGUGGCUGCAACUGUUUAUUAAAAACACAGCACUCUGCAAAGACGAAAGUCGACGUAUAGGGUGUGACUCCUGCCCGGUGCUGGAAGAUUAAAUGAUGGGGUGCAAGCUCUUGACUGAAGUCCCAGUAAACGGCGGCCGUAACUAUAACGGUCCUAAGGUAGCGAAAUUCCUUGUCGGGUAAGUUCCGACCUGCACGAAUGGAGUAAUGAUGGCCACACUGUCUCCUCCAGAGACUCAGCGAAGUUGAAAUGUUUGUGAUGAUGCAAUCUCCCCGCGGAAAGACGGAAAGACCCCAUGAACCUUUACUGUAGCUUUACAUUGGACUUUGAACAGAUCUGUGUAGGAUAGGUGGGAGGCUUUGAAGAGUGGACGCUAGUUUGCUUGGAGCCAACGUUGAAAUACCACCCUGGUGUGUUUGAGGUUCUAACCUUGGUCCCUUAUCGGGAUUGGGGACAGUGUAUGGUGGGCAGUUUGACUGGGGCGGUCUCCUCCCAAAGUGUAACGGAGGGGUUCGAAGGUCAA